This is a long non-coding RNA of Leptidea sinapis, 1389 nucleotides long. RefSeq lists it as uncharacterized. The transcript is spliced from 5 exons. The record is from RefSeq and is a predicted model, not a curated record. NCBI's taxonomy places the organism in Eukaryota, Metazoa, Arthropoda, Insecta, Lepidoptera, Pieridae.
UUAUUAUUUUGCACAGACAGCAGACUACUUGCGUAGUAACCAAAAAAAAAAAAUGCAGACUACUUGUGUUGUUACUUGUUUACAAAGAUGAAAAAAUCCUUUUUAAAAGUUUAAUAUAAAUUUCCGAUUUAUUAUAUUAAAUGCAUGAACUAAUUUAAUUUGAAGGUUGUAUGCUGCAAACGACAUUGCUUUAAAUGGAAGAAUAGUAACAGAGUUUCUGGCUGGCCCUGAACAUUUGAAUCAAAGAGGAACUCUUCAUGGAGGUUUCAUAUCUCAUCUUGUUGAUGCUAUAUUAACUAUAAAUGAUAAAACUGAAACAACAGGUGUAUCAAUUGAUCUCAGUAUAAGCUAAUCCCUGAAACAACUGGAGUGAUGUUGACAGGCUUCAACUAGUAAAAAAUGAAUCAUGAGUUCUGCACAGCUAUUUAAAACCCAUGAAAUCCGGAAGACGUCCACUGCUGCUCAAAGGCCUCCCCGAAAGAUCUCCACGACGACCGGUCUUGCGCUGCCCUCGUCCAGCGUAUUCCGGAGAUUUUGACCAGAUCGUCGGUCCAUCUUGUGGGGGCCUACCAACACUACAUCUUCCGGUACGAGAUCGCGAUUCGAAGACAUUUCUGCCCCACCGGCCAUCUGUUCAUCGAACUAUGUGCACUGCCCACAGCCACUUGUGUGGACAAACACACAGUGUCGGCAUAUCAUCGGGGUCGGACGGCAGAACUGGGCUUAUGGACAAAGCUCUUACUGGACAAUUAUCGUGUCGUCUUUAACUCCUUUAGACGUGACAUUUAGUGUGACGGCAGUGGUCUGCACUGACUCCACGUUCUUCGGAUGUAAGUGGCCUUAGCCAGACUCGACAGUCGACAUUCAGGCUCCGGAUAAUACAACAACCCUCCCGCUCGUGCAUUAAUACAUAUUAUUGAAGUGAUACUACUUUUGACGCGUUAUGGAACAAAUAUCACAGUGAAUUUCUACGAUGUUUGUUUCCGAGUCAUGGAUGUUUAUAUGUAUUUAUGCAUGUUUAAAUAUAAGAGAAGAGUAGAGCAGCACGGGAGAGGAAGAUUAAUAUUAAUCCUCUUUUUGCUAUACUUAAAAGGUUCUUUGACAAAUAAGGCUUAUCAGUAUAUAGGAGAUAAUAAUGCAUGGUGCUUGUCCAGUUCUACGCAGGCCAUUAAAAUUAUAUAGUACCAUUAUAUUAAGUAGUCUAACAAUUUUGUUAUUAUAUAAUUUAAAAGAUGGACUGGGAGUUUCUUGUCAGUUCUUCUCCCUAUUUCAAAGCCCCUUUUCGCACUGAUGUAGCUUCAUGACGUCCAACAAGUGUUAUUGAAAUAUUUUUUGUUACUGUCACUUAUGGUAAUUAAUAAUGAAGUAAUAAAUAUUUUUUUUUAUUCA